GUCUUUUUGUUAAAAAUUUAAAGUCGGGCCUGCCCACUGAAAUUUUGAAUGGCCGUGGUAUUUUGACCAUGCUAAGGUAGCAUAAUUAUUAGUUUUUUAAUUGAAAGCUGGAAUGAAAGGUUUGAUAAAAAAAUGACUGUCUCUGUUUAAUUUUAUUAAAAAUUUAUUUUUAAGUUCAAAAGCUUAAUUUUAAUUAAAAGACGAGAAGACCCUAUAGAGUUUAAUAAUUUAAGAUAAUUUAUAUUUUAGAAUUAACUUAUUUAUUUUUUAAUAUUAUUUAAUUGGGGUGAUUGAAAAAUUUAAUUAACUUUUUUUAUAUUUAACCAUUAAUUUAUGAUAAUUUGAUCCAAUUUUUUGAUUAUAAGAUAAAAUUACCUUAGGGAUAACAGCGUAAUUUUUUUAGAAAGUUCAAAUUAAAAGAAAAGAUUGCGACCUCGAUGUUGGAUUAAAAUUAAAUUUUGGUGUAGAAGGUAAAAACUUUAAGUCUGUUCGACUUUUAAAAUUUUACA
Molecule: ribosomal RNA, 509 nt
Filed under: Calligrapha suturella
Lineage: Eukaryota; Metazoa; Arthropoda; Insecta; Coleoptera; Chrysomelidae
Description: partial 16S ribosomal RNA
Rfam family: Bacterial large subunit ribosomal RNA (bases 382-509)
Source: RNAcentral